UUUAUCUUUACUUUCUUCUUUAUAUUGUACCUACAAUAUUGUAUUUGUUAUUUGCAAAUUGAAUCUGAUGAUAAAUAGGAUUUUUCUUCUCCUGGCAAGUUAUUCAAAAUGUGGUGAUUAAUAUCAUCAACAAUUUUAUUUGUAGGUGUGAGAUUCAAGGUUUGAAACUAACUUGUGAUUUGCGUUUCGAAGUUGUUUUCUUUUAACUGAAACUGAGAAUAAUUUCCUGACCCCUGGUCUGAUGUCGUAGCCGAGACAGCAGUUGCAUUGGCAACUUCUUCAUUAGUAUUCAAAGCCAUCAAUCUAAAUGUGGCAUCAUCAGCCAGGAAAAUUGGAGGUUCCAUAAUACCCUGCACAUUUAGAGUAUUAUAACGAGAGCAAGGAUACCAUACAAUUGAAGAAGAAAAAAAUUGUCAACGUACUUCCACUUUUUUUUGGUGAUUACGAAAUAAGUCAGCUUCUGAAAUCAGAUAGCUCAACCCACUAGCAAGUUUAACAACUUCGAUAGCACCUAUCUGCUCUGAGGUGGCAUGCUGUCUUAAAUCUGUUUGACAAUCACAAAGUUUCCUCCACAAAUUUUGCACCAUAUCUAUCAUAGUAGAUGGACAGUCAACAUGCUUUGACUCCAACUUUAAAUCCAUUUGACUGCACUGAUCCAUUGUGUUAUAAAUGGAUGCAGAUGCAAUUUCCAUGUUCACAUCAGUAAAAUCUUGUGAAGUUGCUCUUGGAGAAGAUUUGUGAAUUUCAAUAUUCACCAACAAAUCUUGAUCUUUAGGAACUUUGCCCACGGCCUGAUAAACCCUGAAAGAGAAUGGUUUCAAUUCAUUAUCCAGAGAAACAUCUACUGGACAGGAAAGCUGCCCAGAAGACACUACUUUAGAUUUUGCAGUCUCAGAAACAAAGCUUGGUUCUGGAAACCGGGACAGAUCAGAACGCAAUAGCUCGCAAAAAGACAUGUUGGCAUAGUUUUGAUUCAAUAGAAAGUUAAAGAAAGAUUCAGUGUUGCCUUCAUGGGUUUGUCUCGUGUAAGCUUCGUCAUGAACAUUUACAGAAUGUCUACUAUUUGGAUCCUUAUCCAUAUCAUUAGAGGACAUCACAAAAAGUUGACCUUGGUCUUUUGUAGCCGGAAUUGUUCUUGAGGAAAAGAAUUGGCCGCCGUUUUUCCCAAUUAUCCAUCACGAUAUUGCUACUGAAAUUCUGAAUCAUCUUAAAAAAUUGCAAUAUGUUGCAUUUACUACACUGUUAGGUAUGCACUCCUCUUUUUAGUUGAAUUGUAUUAUAGUGAUGAUGGAGAGGAGUUUUGUUA
Molecule: long non-coding RNA, 1306 nt
Organism: Vicia villosa (hairy vetch)
Lineage: Eukaryota; Viridiplantae; Streptophyta; Magnoliopsida; Fabales; Fabaceae
Exons: 4
Source: RefSeq, a predicted model, not a curated record